RNAcentral lists this long non-coding RNA (768 nucleotides) under Bos taurus (domestic cattle). RNAcentral's name for it is "long non-coding RNA NONBTAT010570". The record is from RNAcentral. Lineage: Eukaryota; Metazoa; Chordata; Mammalia; Artiodactyla; Bovidae.
UUUGUACACCAGUCACACCAUAAAACAGUUUAUCAUAUAAAAUACCUCAACUUUCUGUAUUCCUCACCUCCGCCUCAAAGUUGUACUGGUGAUAAUUUUGAGGGUCUAUCCUUUAGCUUAUAGGUGAGUUUUCACAUCUGGCCAGAUUCUUAUACCUCCAUCAUAUACUUGAAUAGAUUAAGAAAUAUAGGAAUGGGAACAAGAAUUUGGCCCAAUUUCACAACUCAUUUAUUUUCAUACAUAUUUCUCACAUGCUGUUAAAUGCAACAAAAGAAUUAUAUUUUAAAAAAGUGUAACUUUCUGUUACAUCAAAAAAUACUGUCUAGUGAAAAGUUGAUACUCAGUAGAACAAUGAUCAUGUAAAUAAACAUCUAUUUCAAAUGUACCCAAUAUGAUAAAAAGCAUAGUCUAGGCCCCAGAGCAUGAGCCGGGAGGAUUUAUUUGUUAUUUUCUCUAUUUUCCUCUGUGAAGCUUUAAUUUUCCUUUAUUUUUUUGUUUUAAAAAGAAGGGUUUUAUAUAUUCUGUUGUAAAAUAUGGAAAUUAAACAAGGACUUUAAAGAGCUGCACUGAGAGAUCACAUUCUGAUGGUGUGAUGAGCUUCUUUGACAUUUCACAAAGGUGUAUGUUCUGCAGAAGAAUCAAUGACCUGUAAACCAGAUGAAUUCUGUUGUGUUUACUUUGUAAUGGGUGAUGCUGAACUUCCUGCUUCCGAGCGGCUCAACCCUGACCAUGAACUACCUGACACCAGGUGGAUGUCAGGAACUCCCA